RNAcentral lists this transfer RNA (68 nucleotides) under Curculio elephas. RNAcentral describes it as "tRNA-Ala". It matches the Rfam family "tRNA". From Rfam's summary of the family: Transfer RNA (tRNA) molecules are approximately 80 nucleotides in length. Their secondary structure includes four short double-helical elements and three loops (D, anti-codon, and T loops). Lineage: Eukaryota; Metazoa; Arthropoda; Insecta; Coleoptera; Curculionidae. The record is from RNAcentral.
AGGAUAAUAGUUAAAAUUAAAACAUUUAAUUUGCAUUUAAAAGAAAUUGAUUGUAUCAAUUUAUCUUA